This 215-nucleotide long non-coding RNA is filed under the name Gallus gallus (chicken). The record is from RNAcentral. Lineage: Eukaryota; Metazoa; Chordata; Aves; Galliformes; Phasianidae.
CUACAUUAGCAUGCAUUGCCAGAAGAACCUGCGCAAGCUCAUAAUAUCCCGCUGAGCAGGCUAAACAAAGGAGGCUUUCCCCUUCUUCUGUGUGCUCGUUCACACUUCGUCCUUCAAUUAGCAACUUCCGCACAGCAUUUACAUCUCCUUCUGAACAAGCCUCUGCCAAGCUGCGGUUGUCCGUCUGCCCUGCAUUUGCUGUGCUUUCUGCUCUC